GAGACCCCCUCCAUGGGGUGAAGUAUCACCAGUGCUAUAUCUGGGAAGUGGACAACGGUGCUGCCUGGUGAUUGACUCCAGCUAAUGGUCUCUUUGUCAGCAAUCCAUCAGUGACAACAGCUUGCCCACUGUUUUGGGUCUGAGCAGCACCUGUGCUGAGGACUGGCCUCCGUGCAGAGUAGAAAUCAGCAUGUGGCAGUUCUGGCUUAAGGUUUCAGAUAUGAAGAAAGCAUAAAUUUAUUCUGCAGUCUACUCAUCAUCUUCUAGUACUACCACAUGACAGUCACUUCUGGAACUAUGGAGAACAAUGUAACAGACCCAGAAGAGUCUCCAUGCUGAUGAACAAUUGAUCUGUUGCUCCUGCUCUUUACUACCACUGCAGCAAGCCAGUCCUCCCCUAGCUGACACCCGUCCCUCAGUUCGGCCAGAAGGAAAUUCUCCUUCCUCAUCUGCAAUGCUCCCAGUAAGCUUUGCCAUGAACCCAUGCUUGAAGACAAGAUUCAAGGGAGCCCAAGGUUGCAUGGUACAUUUGGACCCGGAGUGUUUCCUCUACCAUGGGAGUUCUCAACUGGGGGUGGUUCUCCCCCCAAAGAAGACAUUGGCAAUGUUGAGACACUUUGAUGGUCAUGCCUGGAAAGUUCCUACUGCCCAGUGGAGAGAAGCCAGGGGUGCAGUUACCCAUCCUGCAAGGCACAGGACAGCGCACAACAAAGAUAAUAUGUCAGUAUUGCCAAGGUGGAGAAACUCAAGUCUGCUCUACCAGAAAGCAGAAAGAAGUAUAAUGAAGACAUCUUCAAGCCACUACAUGAUGGAAACACACUUGCUGCUUUCAGUGUUUGAUCUCAGCUCUCUAUCUACAGUGACUUUUGGAGCCUCAUAAAUGAAGAUUUCGUCUAAAAUCUGUGCCUUUGUGGAUGAGAGAGUAUCAAUAAAUAAGUCAGUGAAUCCUAAUAAAUAAUAUUCCCUUUUAAGUAUUUCUUCUUGAAAACUGUUGCCAGCAGGAAGGAACUGCUGAGGACUAGGCAGGGUCAAGUGGGGGUGGUAGUGAGAAGUGAGAAAAAGAAGGAAAUUUGGUUAGAACUAACAUUUCCUUAUUAAUUAUU
Molecule: long non-coding RNA, 1103 nt
Organism: Canis lupus familiaris (dog)
Lineage: Eukaryota; Metazoa; Chordata; Mammalia; Carnivora; Canidae
Exons: 3
Source: RefSeq, a predicted model, not a curated record